This is a long non-coding RNA of Homo sapiens (human), 1246 nucleotides long. Ensembl annotates it as mir-99a-let-7c cluster host gene. Its record names the gene MIR99AHG. Lineage: Eukaryota; Metazoa; Chordata; Mammalia; Primates; Hominidae. The record is from Ensembl.
UAAGCCAGCUUGUGGAAGGGGCCUCUGGGUGGCAGCUCUGGGCUUUUGGGUGUUGGACAACCAUAGGCAAAACUGAAAUGGAACAGGGGCAGAAAAUAGCACACUUUUACUCUACGCAACUGUUGCUUUUUCAUGGACAGUACUACAGAAGGACUAAGUAUAUAGGAAACUUGACUUAUUUAAAUAAGGCAGUGAAAAAAAUAGAAUAUGGGGAGUAAAACAACCUCUGAAGCUAAGUCUGCAUAUAUAAUAACUGGAUCUUCAGGAAUUUUACUGGGAUAAUUAUCCAAAUAAAUUGCAAGCAUUCUAUCCAAAUGGAGCUCUUUCUGAGAUGAAGAGAAUUCUCAAUGUCAAGAUUUGAACAAGAAGAGAAUGGAAUACACAAUAUGGACAUCCAUAAAAAUUCAUCAGAGAGCAUUUUACUACUGAGCUGCAAAGGUAGGAAAAAUAAAUUUUUUUUGGUUAGAAAAUAUACUUCUUUCAUCUGCGUUUCAAUAAUUUAUUCCCCUUGUUAGAUAUACAUGGAAUUGAUAUUGCUUAUUCUGACUAAGUGAAAAGUGUUAUUUCUACUUACUGCUCAAUUAGAAACAUGUAGUGUUUAAUUGUCAGUUUGAAUUUUUCUUUCAUACUAUUACAGUUUAUAUUUUACUAUAGGCAGAAUUUCCUCUUUAUCCUAAAUUUUGAUAUUCUCCAUAAUUUCAUCGUGCCUUGACAUUGCUGUAUAUAAUUUCUAUACAUCAGGAAGGCAAUUCUGUGUGCAUGUGUGUGUGUAUAUAUAUAGUUAGAAGUUAGAAACUGAAACUCUUUUUUGUCUACCAUCAUUUCAUAUUUUUCUUGCUAUUUCAAACCUAUAAUUUUUAAAGAAACGACUAACGUAAUCAUUCAUAGAAUAUGCUGUCAGUAACUUAACAAUAUAAAUGUUAACAUGGAGGCAUUUAGUUCAGCAUUUGCUUUACUUAAUAGAGUGCAGAAAAUGUGGCCCUUUUCUCAGUUAGGGUGUAUGUGAAGAUAAAUUUAGAAUUUCUAGACUAGUAAAUACUUCUCUGAUAAUAACUUAAUUAUAGCUAUUUCAAACCAAAUUGUUUAAUUGUGGUGAAUCAUAUGUAAAUUGUUCAGAUGUAGGUCAACACCCACGCCCACAUUCUAGCACCUCUUUCCUAAUUCAAGACAACUUUGCAGUGCCUAAAAGAGCUGAACAGUGCAGAUUAGAGACAUAAGACAAAAAAAAAAAAAAAACACAAAACAA